UGGGGAAUUUUGGACAAUGGACGCAAGUCUGAUCCAGCCAUGCCGCGUGCGGGAAGAAGGCCUUCGGGUUGUAAACCGCUUUUGUCAGGGAAGAAACGAGUUUCUCUAAUACAGAGACUUAAUGACGGUACCUGAAGAAUAAGCACCGGCUAACUACGUGCCAGCAGCCGCGGUAAUACGUAGGGUGCGAGCGUUAAUCGGAAUUACUGGGCGUAAAGCGUGCGCAGGCGGUUAUAUAAGACAGAUGUGAAAUCCCCGGGCUCAACCUGGGAACUGCAUUUGUGACUGUAUAGCUAGAGUACGGCGGAGGGGGAUGGAAUUCCGCGUGUAGCAGUGAAAUGCGUAGAUAUGCGGAGGAACACCGAUGGCGAAGGCAAUCCCCUGGACCUGUACUGACGCUCAUGCACGAAAGCGUGGGGAGCAAACA
RNAcentral lists this ribosomal RNA (427 nucleotides) under uncultured bacterium. Its description in RNAcentral is "bacterial SSU rRNA". It matches the Rfam family "Bacterial small subunit ribosomal RNA", at positions 355 to 774 of the family's 1533-position model. The record is from RNAcentral.